GUGCUCUCUUUGGCAGCACAUAUACUAAAAUUGGAACAUUACAGAGAAGAUUAGCGUGGCCCCUGCACAAGGAUGACAUGCAAAUUAGUGAAGCAUUCCCUGCACUU
This is a small nuclear RNA of Meriones unguiculatus (Mongolian gerbil), 107 nucleotides long. The record is from Ensembl. NCBI's taxonomy places the organism in Eukaryota, Metazoa, Chordata, Mammalia, Rodentia, Muridae.